GAGUUCACAGGAGGAAGCCAAACUUAUCCGCUGCCUCCAUCUGGGCUCGCUCCGUUGGGUCUCACAUUUUUGUCCUUGAGGAAGUUUAUUUUUUUUCAAAAUGCAUUUAAAGGAAAACACACCAAGGACACUGCUCAUGUUUGCCCCCUUGUUGAGUCUGGAUGACAUGGCUAGGAUAUUUUACUGGAGACAGAAACGGUGCCAGAUUACUGCAUGGACUGAUGCUGUGGCGACCGUCCACGGGGGGAUUCUGACUGAAAUGUCAGGGAAAAGCAAAUGGAAGCAGCCUCCUGAACAUCACAUUUUAAAAACAAAUUUAGAUAGUAUGUGUUUUUCCCAAUAAAGUGUUUUAACACUGUUUUACUUCAAGUGUUGUUUAACCAAAUAGAGAACGUGUAUAAAGGUCAGUGUUCACUUAUAAAACAGAGAGAAUUAUUCUCUCUGUCUAUACAGCUGGAUUAUUUUAUUCUGCUUUUCUUUUUUUUUUUUUACUCACAUGAGACUUAAAUUGGUUUCUUUACAGGACCAAGGAGACUGUGGCCUGGUUCCUACAGUAUUCUUCUGUUCUGCUCAAAUGCAAUAAGCAGUUUCAAGUUAUAUAUUUUUAAUGUUGUAUAAACAUAGAGAAAGCAUCAAAAAAUUCAAAAAACAAGCAAAAAAACCCAGAAGUGAAAUAUAUUUCCAUAAAUUAUAGUGCCGCGUCCCUCUCAUGUCCUACUUCCUGUUUUAUUCCUAACCUCUGGGUUGUUUAAAAAUUUCAGGUCAGGAAACAGACAGCUUCCUGGGAGCCUCAGUGCCCGAACCUUUCUUUCAGCUGAAAGUAUAACAGUCAAAAUAGGAAGUGAUGUCACGUGUGGGGCAGGAGGUACAAGGACAUGUUUCUGGUUGACAGGUGUGGCUUUGGUUUAAAUCCCUCACCACCAUCGACGGUCAACUUUAAAAA
Cynoglossus semilaevis (tongue sole) is the source of this 943-nucleotide long non-coding RNA. RefSeq lists it as uncharacterized. The record is from RefSeq and is a predicted model, not a curated record. NCBI's taxonomy places the organism in Eukaryota, Metazoa, Chordata, Actinopteri, Pleuronectiformes, Cynoglossidae. The transcript has 3 exons.